GCAACAAAUGGAAAGCGUAACAUCCUUGAGCCGGGCCAGCGUUUGAGCUCGUGCGACUUGAGAUUUUCCCGCUUCUCACCAUCGCUGAGGUGAAGAGACACGACCUGUUGUGUAAAACUGUUGUAUUAUUUUUAGCUCCAUGGCGGAGUGACGACAGUCGUCCCACUUCUGUACGACACUGACCACAACGUAUAAAGAAAAUCACAGUGGACUGACGCACAGGGAUGUUAUGGAGGUGGAUGCAGACAAGAGGAACCCUACGCUCAUCAUCCUUAUGAGAGGAGGAAGAGAGGCAGAGGAGGAAGAGCAUCUUCUAUUAGCAGAGCAAUGCGACUGUCACCUGAAAAAUGGAGAGGCUGGAUUUAGCGACGGGCCUCGUUGUCAUGGCGAUGCUGUUCUCGGAUGACUCACACUCGUGGAUGGCGUUCAUCUUACCAUGCAUGGCGUCUGUCACCUUCACAACAGCGGCGACACAAAAUCAGAAGAACCGAGAGUAGGACCAACGUCCCCCCGACAAAGAUGGACAAGAGGACCAGCAGGAGAACAUAGCCAUUCUGUGUCC
This is a long non-coding RNA of Misgurnus anguillicaudatus (oriental weatherfish), 562 nucleotides long. RefSeq lists it as uncharacterized. The record is from RefSeq and is a predicted model, not a curated record. Lineage: Eukaryota; Metazoa; Chordata; Actinopteri; Cypriniformes; Cobitidae.